Molecule: ribosomal RNA, 416 nt
Filed under: uncultured eukaryote
Lineage: Eukaryota
Description: SSU rRNA
Rfam family: Eukaryotic small subunit ribosomal RNA
Source: RNAcentral
CAAUAGCGUAUAUUAAAGUUGUUGCGGUUAAAAGCUCGUAGUUGGAUUUCUGUCGAGGGCGGGCGGUCCGCACUAUGUGCGUGUAUCUUGUUCGGUCUUGGCAUCCUCUUGGGGAAUGCUUCUGUGCUUGAUUGCAUGGGGUGGAAUUCAAGACUUUUACUUUGAGGAAAUUAGAGUGUUCACGGCAGGCAAACGCCUUGAAUAUAUUAGCAUGGAAUAAUAAUAUAGGACCUUUGUUCUAUUUUGUUGGUUUCUAGAGCGAAGGUAAUGAUUAAUAGGGAUAAUUGGGGCGAUUCGUAUUAACGCGUCAGAGGUGGAAUUCUUGGAUUGCGUUACGACGAACUACUGCGAAAGCAUUUGCCAAGGAUGUUUUCAUUGAUCAAGAACGAAAGUUAGGGGAUCGAAGACGAUUAGAU